Molecule: ribosomal RNA, 253 nt
Filed under: uncultured bacterium
Lineage: Bacteria
Description: partial 16S ribosomal RNA
Rfam family: Bacterial small subunit ribosomal RNA
Source: RNAcentral
UACGUAGGGGGCGAGCGUUGUCCGGAUUUAUUGGGCGUAAAGGGUCCGCAGGCGGUUUGGUAAGUUUGACGUGACAGUGCCCGGCUUAACUGGGCAAGUGCGUUGGAAACUGCCAGACUUGAGGGCUUCAGAGGGAUGCGGAAUUCCGGGUGGAGUGGUGAAAUGCGUAGAUAUCCGGAGGAACACCAAAGGCGAAGGCAGCAUCCUGGGAAGUCUCUGACGCUCAGGGACGAAAGCUAGGGGAGCGAACGGG